CCGGCCUUUAAAACCUGAAAAUGUUAAGUAUGGGAUAAGCAUACAGGGUACACUCAAUGUGAGAACAUGCAAUAAUUGUCCACGUUAAUAAAAUGGUAACACAUAUGAUCAUAACAUUUCAUUACAUUUGCUCGCACGGUGGCAUACCAAGGACCUUUCCGUCCUGGACCCAUUCAACGGGCCCCUGGCGAUAAUAUAAUGGUUGCAACCUUAACUUUUACAUUUAUAUCACAUUGUGGCAUACCAAGGAUCUUUCCAUCCUGGACCCAUUCAACAGGCCCCUAGCGAUAUCCUCAAAAUAUACGUCAUAACACAUAUGGUAAACACAAAUUAUUAAAAUGGACAAUAAAUAAUCACGGUAUGUAUUUAAAUAAAUCUCACACCUAAAACUUGAGCUUUGAAAAAUUCAAUUUACUCGUCCAGCACCGUACAAUUACUAAAUAUAUACUUUAGUAUUAUGCUAUAAAUUAAUUGUAUAAGAUUGGUAAAGUGUUGGGGAUGAAAAAAUAAGAAAACUGUCGAGAGUAUAUAUAUAUAAGCAGAAAAUUUGUAUAGCUAGCUUGCAUGAGUCACAAGCCUAUUAUCUUAGGCUUAACUAUUCACUACUAGUUUUCCUUGCAAGCAAGACACGUGGCUUUGUGGGAAAGGUACAUAGCUACACUAUUAGGUAUACAAUACACACAUAUAUAAUAGGGUUAAUUGCAUGUAAUAUCAUGAACUUAACGCGAAAUCCAAAUUUAGCACGAAUUUAAAAAGUUCCAAUUAAUAUCACUACCUAUGCCCCGUGUCCAAUUUUAGCACCGUUUUUUGACGUGGCUUGUCGGCACAUGCUUCGAUCCUACGUGGCUUGCCGGUACAAGCUUCCGACCGGCGAGCCAAGCUCUCUCUCUCUCUUUCUCUCUCUCUCUCUCUCUCUCCNGGCGAUAAUUAAAUGGUUGCAACCUUAACUUUUACAUUUAAUCGCAUUGUGGCAUACCAAGGACCUUUCCGUCCUGGACCCAUUCAACGGGCCCCUAGCGAUAUCCUCAAAAUAUACGUCAUAACACAUAUUGUAAACACAUAAUAUUAAAAUGGACAAUAAUUAACCACGUGCAUGUAUUAAAAUAAAUCCCACACCUGAAACUUGAACUUGAAGGCUAACUUGAGAAAUUCAAUCAAAAGUUACGUCAUAGUCGCGCUGCACCUAGUCAGAUAAAUUCAAAUAAUAUAAUAUGAGGGUCUAUUUAUGAAAAUAAUUUAAUACUUAAAAAUCUAUUCUUUAAAAUCCUUAAAAACAUUGUCUUAGUUAAUAAAACAAAAUAAAAUAUUUAAAGAUCUUUUAAUUAAUAACAAAUCCAAUUUCAAUUAAAAAAAAAAAGUAAAGCCCAAAUUAAAGGUUAAUUUAAUAAUAAAAUAAGAGCCCAUCCCAAGCCCACCAUCCAACCAAAUUUUAAAACCUCAAUUGACUUCCACACACAACUCACGACACCCUAACUCCCUCUCUCUCUCUCUCUCGGCCUCCUGCUGCCGCCGCUAGAGGCCGGCGGCUCUGCCUCCCCAUCCCGUUUCCUCAACCUCUCUCCCUCUACCCUCAUCUCUCGCUCCCCGUCGAUCUCUCUCCCUCUCCCUCAUCUCUCGCCUCCCCCUGUCCUCUCCUCACCGCGCCCAGCUGCGGCCGCUCCGACGACCUUCGCCGCCUGCCAGAUCUGGCGCCCUCUUCCUUAUCCGGCCGGCAGAAACGGCCACCGCCUCCCCUCUUCCAUCUUCUCGGCUCGACUACAGCCGCGCCCAAAGAUCAUCUCCAAUUCCUCUCUACCAGUCUAUGUGUUAGAUUUGUUUCUAUUUGUUUCAGAUACUAUUAAGUUAUUUAUUAAGCAUCUGAAUUGCAAAUGAGUUGUUAUUUCAAAGGUAUGGUAUCAUGGAUAUGAGGAUUAUUGUUUUGAGGUUUAGGCUGUAAAUAUUGUAUCUGCAAGACUGCAACGAUAUAGAUCAAAUACAGGAGAUAAAUUUUGAAAUAAAACUAUGAGAAUUUACAGAAAUAAUAAAAUUACCAUUCGGAGCUUUGCAGAUGAAACGAAACGGGGUAAAGUUUCGAGGAUCGAAUGUUUGAAUUUGUACAGAUGUUUGGAAAAAUUCCAGAAAAUGAAACGUGAAGGCUGGAAUAAAUGUGGUGAAAUUGGCAUGAUACGUGGUUGAAAACAUAUGAAAUAAGCAUAUGUGGCUGGUAUGGAUGAGCAACACGUAAG
Molecule: long non-coding RNA, 2225 nt
Filed under: Salvia miltiorrhiza (redroot sage)
Lineage: Eukaryota; Viridiplantae; Streptophyta; Magnoliopsida; Lamiales; Lamiaceae
Description: long non-coding RNA (SMIL_LNC005347)
Source: RNAcentral